AGAGUUUGAUCCUGGCUCAGGAUGAACGCUAGCGGCAGGCUUAACACAUGCAAGUCGAGGGGCAGCGGGGAGGAAGCUUGCUUUCUCCGCCGGCGACCGGCGCACGGGUGAGUAACACGUAUGCAACCUGCCCCUGUCAGGGGGACAACCCGCCGAAAGGCGGGCUAAACCCGCGUACAUGCCACCGGGGCAUCCCGGAGGCAGGAAAGGCUUCGGCCGGACAGGGAUGGGCAUGCGGCGCAUUAGGCAGUAGGCGGGGUAACGGCCCACCUAACCGACGAUGCGUAGGGGUUCUGAGAGGAAGGUCCCCCACACUGGUACUGAGACACGGACCAGACUCCUACGGGAGGCAGCAGUGAGGAAUAUUGGUCAAUGGUCGGGAGACUGAACCAGCCAAGCCGCGUGAGGGAGGAAGGUACAGAGUAUCGUAAACCUCUUUUGUCAGGGAACAAAGGCGGGGACGUGUCCCCGGAUGAGUGUACCUGAAGAAAAAGCAUCGGCUAACUCCGUGCCAGCAGCCGCGGUAAUACGGAGGAUGCGAGCGUUAUCCGGAUUUAUUGGGUUUAAAGGGUGCGCAGGCGGUCUGUUAAGUCAGCGGUCAAAGCCCGGGGCUCAACCCCGGCCCGCCGUUGAAACUGGCAGUCUCGAGUUGGAGAGAAGUAUGCGGAAUGCGCGGUGUAGCGGUGAAAUGCAUAGAUAUCGCGCAGAACUCCGAUUGCGAAGGCAGCAUGCCGGCUCCACACUGACGCUGAGGCACGAAAGCGUGGGUAUCGAACAGGAUUAGAUACCCUGGUAGUCCACGCAGUAAACGAUGAAUGCUGGCUGUCCGGGGGGACUGACCCCUGGGUGGCGAAGCGAAAGCGAUAAGCAUUCCACCUGGGGAGUACGCCGGCAACGGUGAAACUCAAAGGAAUUGACGGGGGCCCGCACAAGCGGAGGAACAUGUGGUUUAAUUCGAUGAUACGCGAGGAACCUUACCCGGGCUCAAACGGGGAGUGGCGCAGGCAGAGACGCCUGUUUCCCACGGGACACUCCCCGAGGUGCUGCAUGGUUGUCGUCAGCUCGUGCCGUGAGGUGUCGGCUUAAGUGCCAUAACGAGCGCAACCCCCGCGUGCAGUUGCUAACAGUCAACGCUGAGGACUCUGCACGGACUGCCGGCGCAAGCCGCGAGGAAGGCGGGGAUGACGUCAAAUCAGCACGGCCCUUACGUCCGGGGCGACACACGUGUUACAAUGGGUGGUACAGCGGGAAGCCAGGCGGCGACGCCGAGCGGAACCCGAAAUCCACUCUCAGUUCGGAUCGGAGUCUGCAACCCGACUCCGUGAAGCUGGAUUCGCUAGUAAUCGCGCAUCAGCCAUGGCGCGGUGAAUACGUUCCCGGGCCUUGUACACACCGCCCGUCA
RNAcentral lists this ribosomal RNA (1402 nucleotides) under uncultured bacterium. RNAcentral describes it as "16S ribosomal RNA". It matches the Rfam family "Bacterial small subunit ribosomal RNA". The record is from RNAcentral.